UACGUAGGGGGCGAGCGUUGUCCGGAAUUAUUGGGCGUAAAGGGUUCGUAGGCGGUUUUUUAAGUCAGAUGUGAAAGGUCACGGCUCAACCGUGGUAAGCAUUUGAAACUGAAAGACUUGAGUUAAGGAGAGGAAAGUGGAAUUCCUAGUGUAGCGGUGAAAUGCGUAGAUAUUAGGAGGAAUACCAGUGGCGAAGGCGACUUUCUGGACUUAUAAUGACGCUGAGGAACGAAAGCGUGGGGAGCAAACAGG
RNAcentral lists this ribosomal RNA (252 nucleotides) under uncultured bacterium. RNAcentral's name for it is "partial 16S ribosomal RNA". It matches the Rfam family "Bacterial small subunit ribosomal RNA", at positions 524 to 776 of the family's 1533-position model. The record is from RNAcentral.